RNAcentral lists this ribosomal RNA (497 nucleotides) under Bacillus sp. SN34. RNAcentral describes it as "bacterial SSU rRNA". It matches the Rfam family "Bacterial small subunit ribosomal RNA", at positions 1 to 482 of the family's 1533-position model. The record is from RNAcentral. Lineage: Bacteria; Bacillati; Bacillota; Bacilli; Caryophanales; Bacillaceae.
AUUAGAGUUUGAUCCUGGCUCAGGAUGAACGCUGGCGGCGUGCCUAAUACACGCAAGUCGAGCGAAUGGAUUAAGAGCUUGCUCUUAUGAAGUUAGCGGCGGACGGGUGAGUAACACGUGGGUAACCUGCCCAUAAGACUGGGAUAACUCCGGGAAACCGGGGCUAAUACCGGAUAACAUUUUGAACUGCAUGGUUCGAAAUUGAAAGGCGGCUUCGGCUGUCACUUAUGGAUGGACCCGCGUCGCAUUAGCUAGUUGGUGAGGUAACGGCUCACCAAGGCAACGAUGCGUAGCCGACCUGAGAGGGUGAUCGGCCACACUGGGACUGAGACACGGCCCAGACUCCUACGGGAGGCAGCAGUAGGGAAUCUUCCGCAAUGGACGAAAGUCUGACGGAGCAACGCCGCGUGAGUGAUGAAGGCUUUCGGGUCGUAAAACUCUGUUGUUAGGGAAGAACAAGUGCUAGUUGAAUAAGCUGGCACCUUGACGGUACCUAA